CAGCCGCCACGGGAAUACGGAGGGGGCUAGCGUUGUUCGGAAUUACUGGGCGUAAAGCGCACGUAGGCGGCUUUUUAAGUCAGAGGUGAAAGCCCGGAGCUCAACUCCGGAACUGCCUUUGAGACUGGAAGGCUUGAACGUCGGAGAGGUGAGUGGAAUUCCGAGUGUAGAGGUGAAAUUCGUAGAUAUUCGGAAGAACACCAGUGGCGAAGGCGGCUCACUGGACGACUGUUGACGCUGAGGUGCGAAAGCGUGGGGAGCAAACAGGAUUAGAGACCCCUGUAGUCCCUGUCUCUUAUAC
This 301-nucleotide ribosomal RNA is filed under the name uncultured bacterium. RNAcentral describes it as "partial 16S ribosomal RNA". It matches the Rfam family "Bacterial small subunit ribosomal RNA", at positions 509 to 807 of the family's 1533-position model. The record is from RNAcentral.